Mustela erminea (ermine) is the source of this 421-nucleotide long non-coding RNA. RefSeq lists it as uncharacterized. The transcript is spliced from 3 exons. The record is from RefSeq and is a predicted model, not a curated record. NCBI's taxonomy places the organism in Eukaryota, Metazoa, Chordata, Mammalia, Carnivora, Mustelidae.
GUGGGGGCAGGUUCCUGUAAGUUCUUUCCUCUGUGUGUGGGUGAAGUGAAAACUUUUCUUGCACUUCUCAUCACACUCAUGGGGUGGCCGUUGCCAAGAUUAAAUCACGUGUUUCAAGCUCUGUGACCCAGUGGAACAUAGUGGCCAAGAGAGCAGACAUUUAGCUGCCUGUAACCCCACCUGCCCUCCGGCCUGCAACCAGAGGGAUUUUGCCCAAAAUAGCAAGACUGUUGACACGCUUCUGAAAGCACCAAGGUCCCCGCUAUAAUAGGCUGCUUUCUUUCAUGCACAAGUGGCUCAAGGAGACCAGAAAGCAAAAUCUCCAGUCCGGACGCGAUGUCCCACACAACCCUGAUGACAACAGAGCGAGCUUCUUGGCCUGAGUAAGCCAUGGGCAGCGCCACCUUCCUGCUUACCUGUA